AGUUUCGUAGUGUAGUUGGUUAUCACAUCAGUCCAACAGACUGAAGGCCUCCAGUUCGAAUCUGGACGAAAUCA
Molecule: non-coding RNA, 74 nt
Organism: Hypoxylon sp. FL1150
Lineage: Eukaryota; Fungi; Ascomycota; Sordariomycetes; Xylariales; Hypoxylaceae
Source: the annotation of a GenBank genome assembly